AGAAAGAAUAAAGAAAGAAGAAG
RNAcentral lists this small nuclear RNA (23 nucleotides) under Arabidopsis thaliana (thale cress). RNAcentral describes it as "snRNA_01636". Lineage: Eukaryota; Viridiplantae; Streptophyta; Magnoliopsida; Brassicales; Brassicaceae. The record is from RNAcentral.